This 253-nucleotide ribosomal RNA is filed under the name uncultured bacterium. Its description in RNAcentral is "partial 16S ribosomal RNA". It matches the Rfam family "Bacterial small subunit ribosomal RNA", at positions 524 to 776 of the family's 1533-position model. The record is from RNAcentral.
UACGGGGGGGGCAAGCGUUGUUCGGAAUUACUGGGCGUAAAGGGCGCGUAGGCGGCCUUCUUAGUCGGACGUGAAAUCCCCAGGCUCAACUUGGGAACUGCGUCCGAUACUGGAUGGCUUGAGUGCGGGAGAGGGAUGUGGAAUUCCAGGUGUAGCGGUGAAAUGCGUAGAUAUCUGGAGGAACACCGGUGGCGAAGGCGGCAUCCUGGACCGACACUGACGCUGAGGCGCGAAAGCUAGGGGAGCAAACGGG